Molecule: ribosomal RNA, 189 nt
Filed under: Fidelibacterota bacterium
Lineage: Bacteria; Pseudomonadati; Fidelibacterota
Description: partial 23S ribosomal RNA
Rfam family: Bacterial large subunit ribosomal RNA
Source: RNAcentral
CGGCUGGGUAGCUAUGUUCGGUCCGGAUAAGCGCUGAAAGCAUAUAAGCGCGAAACCGAUCCCAAGAUUAGAUAUCUCUAACAUAAGUUAAUAAGGCUCGUUGUAGACUACGACGUUGAUAGGCUGCAGGUGUAAGUGUAGUAAUACAUUCAGCUGAGCAGUACUAAUAAGCCGAACGGCUUUACCAAA